UCUGCCUGACACAUCAGCUCCUGCGCCCUCUCCCCGGCGGCUCACAGCUGCAGCACCACCCCGGCCGUGCUGAGCGGGGAGCAGGGUGCCUGUGUGCCAUGGCUGCCCUGCUCUCUCCCGCACGCUGCACUGCAACCGCUGGCGGAGACUGAUCAUGCACCAGCCGCAGGCCAGGCAUAUCAGCUCCCCGCUUACAUCGCGCGCGCUGGCCGCGAGGAGGAGGCUUGUCCAGCGACUAGGGGUAGGAGCCGCCGUAAGCCUUUCUGCUCCAUGCGCCCCCGCCACCAGAAACCAACGGAGAGACUGCAAUUACAGUGGGGGAUAUUAACGGCUCAGAGACCUCCUCAACACGUUACCGCGCCGAGGUCCUGAGCCCAUGGUGAGGACGGGGUAUGCUGGCUGUCAGUAGAACUACACUGCUAAACUACUGUGAGAGACUACAAGUAUUCACCAGGGAGGAUGAGCCGGUGACAGUUGUUCAUUACGACAGGGAAGCUUCUGGUCAACUUUCCUGAGCCGGGAACAGAACUGGAGCAAUUGAGGAGAACUCACUGUGGGACCAUAACACCCCAUCCAUGUUGAGUGGCAGAGAGCAGAGAGAUAGCACUCACCUAGAAGACAUCUUGGCGUAGCCCCAUACUCCCCUGCACAACUCAUAUCCCGGAGUGUUAGGGUUUUCACUCACCGACUCAGAUAUUUCUCACUGUCUCAAGCAAACAGUCAUUUUGCCUCUGACUGCUGUCAUCUUCUUUUUUUUCCUUAACUAAUGGACUGAGUUGCAGAGCUGACAUCCUAAUCAUCUGUCUGACUCAGAAUCAGGCCCUUUGUGUUAAUUUCUUCUAAUCUGCAAAGCUGACACUCACUUUUUCUCGUUUUUUUCUCUGUCCUUCUGCACACCUG
Long non-coding RNA from Pseudophryne corroboree (corroboree frog), 900 nucleotides. RefSeq lists it as uncharacterized. The transcript is spliced from 3 exons. Lineage: Eukaryota; Metazoa; Chordata; Amphibia; Anura; Myobatrachidae. The record is from RefSeq and is a predicted model, not a curated record.